Molecule: long non-coding RNA, 1130 nt
Filed under: Chlamydomonas reinhardtii
Lineage: Eukaryota; Viridiplantae; Chlorophyta; Chlorophyceae; Chlamydomonadales; Chlamydomonadaceae
Description: long non-coding RNA (CREI_LNC001377)
Source: RNAcentral
UGCGGCCACGAAGGACGCGCUGAGUUCACGACCGCCAAAGCAGGCGGUGCGCUGGAGGCCCAGGAACGUCAUCCCAACCUGCAGCGGGUGCGUGUGUCAGGGCACAUCGGCAUUCGCUCUCAGCUCGUGGUAUGGCGACACUCGCGUGUUGCGUGUGUUCUAUAAACCCGUUGUGGCCCCAGCUUGAUCUGCCAUGUGAUGCUUACUCCUCCUGAGCCCAACUCGUCCAGAUAGAUCCUCACCAUGUUCGGGUUGCUGACGUUGGUCGCGACGCCGAGGCAGCUGUCAACGCUGACGCCGGUUCCCGUGAGCAGGGUUGUGUUGAGUGCGCGGCGCGAUGCCGCCUCAAAGAAACAGCCCACAUACGCGGUCAGCGGGGGCAGGAAGCCUGUACAAUGGAUUGCAGGCCCAGGGAGAACAGCAACUUAGCGGCUGCCGAUGCAAGCCGCGAAGAAGGAUAGCACAACUUACAGCAAGGGACCCUUAUUCACGCCGAGAUGCCCUAACGCAGGGCCAUGAACAAGUCGACUCACUUGGCGGCGGCGGCCGUGGCGGAGGUAGAGGCGGCGGCGGCCGCAGCUGCGGUGGUGGUGGCGGAGCCCCGAACAGAGGCGGCAGGGCUGGUGCUUUUCCAGACAGCACGGUAGCCUCAUCCGACAGGUCCCAAAAACGUGAGGCGCCAGGGGUGCUGCGAGGCACUGACGCCCGAGCCUUGGUGAUGGUGGACACGGCGAGCGACAGCUCCGGAACUGUCAGUGCCAUCCGGCCCUGUGCGUGCGUCAGCAACGCAGGUGCGUGGAGGCAGAACGUUGUUCAGUAAUGGCGCAAGACGACGCACAGCAGGCUCUCGUGUGCCCCUAAGCAAGAAACCGAGGCCUGCCCUGUCCUCCUCUCGCUACCGUAAUCUGUCCUUUGUUACACCCUCGCCUAGCAAUGAGUGCACUGCCCAAUCCACUCAAUCAUCGACCACGCCCAGGGACGCCCGUUCCCAACAACCCACGCCCACGCCCUCCCGCGCCCGCACCUGCAGGUACUCCACAUACUGGCUGGCCGCCAGCUCGGCGUUCUGCAGCUCGCUGGGGCUGGUCACAGUCAGGUUGCCGCCGGGGUCGGACACGUACCCGCUGAAC